UGUAAGCGUAUACCAAAGUUGUUGCAGUUAAAACGCUCGUAGUCGGAAUUUGGCAGUUCCGGAUGUGUGCACGUCGUGUGCGCACUUCGCGGGGAUUGCUUUUGUGGUCUUGCGUAGGAUGAGGCACUUUUAUUAGUGAACGUCCUCACGCAACCACUUUUUACUGUGAGAAAAUCAGAGUGCUCAAAGCAGGCAUUUGCCGUGAAUGUAUUAGCAUGGAAUAAUAGAAUAGGACUUGGUUCUAUUUUGUUGGUUUGUUGGGACUGAGUAAUGAUUAAGAGGGACAGUUGGGGGCAUUUGUAUUUCGGUGCUAGAGGUGAAAUUCUUAGAUUACCGAAAGACAAACUGCUGCGAAAGCGUCUGCUAAGGAUGUUUUCAUUGA
RNAcentral lists this ribosomal RNA (382 nucleotides) under uncultured eukaryote. RNAcentral's name for it is "partial 18S ribosomal RNA". It matches the Rfam family "Eukaryotic small subunit ribosomal RNA", at positions 592 to 976 of the family's 1831-position model. The record is from RNAcentral.